This 3625-nucleotide long non-coding RNA is filed under the name Anolis carolinensis (green anole). Its description in RNAcentral is "lncRNA (ENSACAG00000041632.1)". Lineage: Eukaryota; Metazoa; Chordata; Lepidosauria; Squamata; Anolidae. The record is from RNAcentral.
AUGAAGUUCAACAGGGACAAAUGCAAGAUACUUCAUUUCGGCAGAAAAAAUGGAAAUCAAAGAUACAGAAUGGGGGACGCCUGGCUUGACAGCAGUGUGUGCGAAAAAGACCUUGGAGUCCUCGUGGACAACAAGUUAAACAUAAGCCAACAAUGUGAUGCAGCAGCCAAAAAAGCCAACGGGAUUCUGGCCUGCAUAAAUAGGGGUAUAGCGUCUAGAUCCAGGGAAGUCAUGCUCCCCCUCUAUUCUGCCUUGGUCAGACCACACCUGGAAUACUGUGUCCAAUUCUGGGCACAGCAAUUGAAGGGAGAUGUUGACAAGCUAGAAAGCGUCCAGAGGAGGGCGACUAAAAUGAUUAAGGGUCUGGAGAACAAGCCCUAUGAGGAGCGGCUUAAAGAGCUGGGCAUGUUUAGCUUGCAGAAGAGAAGGCUGAGAGGAGACAUGAUAGCUAUGUACAAAUACGUGAAGGGAAGUCAUAGGGAGGAGGGAGCAAGCUUGUUUUCUGCUGCCCUGCAGACUAGGACACGGAACAAUGGCUUCAAACUACAGGAAAGGAGAUUCCACCUGAACAUCAGGAAGAACUUCCUCACUGUGAGGGCUGUUCGACAGUGGAACUCUCUCCCCCAGACUGUGGUGGAGGCUCCUUCCUUGGAGGCUUUUAAGCAGAGGCUGGAUGACCAUCUCCCCCAGACUGUGGUGGAGGCUCCUUCCUUGGAGGCUUUUAAGCAGAGGCUGGAUGGCCAUCUGUCGGGGGUGCUUUGAAUGCGAUUUCCUGCUUCUUGGCAGGGGGUUGGACUGGAUGGCCCAUGAGGUCUCUUCCAACUCUACUAUUCUAUGAUUCUAUGAUUCUAUGAUUCAUCAUGCAUAUAUCUCCAAACCCCCCCCCCUUUUUUUUUUGGGAAAUUAUCCAAGUGAAAGUAAUUCCUGGGUACAGUCAUUUGCUGAUAUUUCAUAGCAGAGACUGCAAAGCACUGUUUUGACUCAUUCUCUGGCUCUCCACUCACUUCCUAAGUGCAGAGGAAAUGCCUGCAUAGUGCUAUUAAAUUCACCUGCCUGACUGAUGGAUUAGUAAUUUCAGCAACAGCGCCCUAUUGAAGAGAAAUCAGUAGAUAAUUGACUGUCAAACAGCUGGGCAAUGUUAAGGUCAAUUAAUGCUGAGGAUGGUAUAUUUGAAUAAUGGGACAUGUUUCCAAAGAAGACCUUUAAUGCUAAUAUAAAUAAUAGAAAUAACAAUAACGUUCCCUUUAAUGAAAUUGUUCAACAUUGCCGGGGGUGAGUGGGAAGACUGAAUUACUCAUAGCAAAUACUUUUCCCCCAGGCAAUAAAUUCUGUUUGUAUGGAAUAAAAUACGAUGGUGUGAUACGGGGAUAGAUAAUACAGUAUGACCAUAUGUCAAUAACAGUUUUUUUUCCUUUUAUUUAUGUGCCAAAUAUUUAUAGUUGAUAAAGAUACAACUGAGCUACCUACUGAGUGAUAGUUUAGAACACUCAUGCUUUCCAGCAUUUUAGUGUGGAUGAUGGUAUUAUCUUUUAAGCUGAAGCCAAAUGAUGUUCAGAUUAUAAUAAUAAUAAUAAUAAUAAUAAUAAUAAUAAUAAUAAUAACAACUAAUUUUAAGUCAAGAGAUCCAAAAAAAUCUCCCUUUUGUGCAAAAUGCCAGAAGGAAACAGCACCUCAAUAGCAAGCAUGGACAAGUAUUUAUGAUAUUAAUUGUUCAGCAGUAAGUAUCGAUUUGAGCUAAAUAGAUGGUUGUAGUAAAAGCUACUAACAGGCAAAACAGAUGGGAUAAUGACCUUUAUGUAGAACAAGCACUUCACCAUAAGCUACUUUUUUCCUUUGCAAAAAACAAAACAAAAAACCACAGAUUUAUCCUCAAUAUGGAUAUGUGAAAUCUCAAGAAACAGUUUGACUUCCACAGUGUGUUAGAAGGGUUGCUCCCCAGCUCUGCCUUUGAACUUCCCACUGUUUCCCCUCUGUUGGGUAGACACAUGUAUACUAUAUCCUAAGUCCACCAAAAUAGUUUAGUGGACUUGGGAUAUGGUGGAAGACAAUCAUCCAUUUAAAGAGAUGGUGGUAUCAUUUUGUUCUUCACCCCAGGCAGGGAAAGAUCUUGGGCCAGCCCCACUUUGGUUUUAGUGUAAGAAUGAAUUCCUUUAAAAAUAAAUCCUGCUAUAGGCAAUCACUCAUGGCCAAGUAUGAUUGUCUUCCAUGGUGUGUCCAUAAAUGACUGUAGAGACUAAUGACCUUAUCACACUUACACCUGAUCCAUCCUCCUUCAUCUCAUAUUGGUGGGGUGGGUUGAAUCCAGUGCCAAGCACCCCUCAUCACUCACAUCUCAAGUAACAAGGCGGGGAAAAGGGAGCAGAAAGGAGGAUUUGGUUGUAAGGAGCCAGGCAGCUCAGAGUUUCAAAUCUCCAAUUUGAAUCCACCUGGAAAAGGGGGAGAAAUCAAUCUGAGAAAGACCCCCCCCCCGGUCUCUGAGCACAUUUAAAUGGAGAAAGAGAGGAGCCAAAGAAGAAGGAGAGGAAGACAGUGAUGGGCAGGGAAUGGGGAGGGAGAGACCAAGGAAGGGGGGAGAGACCAAGGAGGGGGGAGAAACCGGGGAAGGGGGGAGAGAGGGAGCAGAGAGAGGGAGCAGGGGGAUCGUGGAGAAGGGGGCACCUCAAAUUCAGAAGAUCGGGGUAAAGUAGAUACUUGGAGAAGCCCUCUGACCUCUAACAGCCCAGGAAAUGAAGAUCUGGCAGUUCUGGGAGGAUAGAUUUCUCUCCCAAACCCCAGGCUUACGUUUGACCCAGAUGGAAGGGAAGCCAGAGGUUUCCAAGUUGCAUCUUGCCAGGUUUCUGCAGAUUUUGGGCAGGAUUGAUAUGGAAGAAGAGAAAAAGAUGCAAUCUAGGCACUGAGGAUAUGGAUUGCAAAUGGUUAAUGUUUACUGGAGAAGAAGAAAAGGGUGAGAGUGAACAGACACCCAGUUAUACGCCUGGCCCAGUCUCGCUCUCACCAUGAGGAACUUAAAAAUAAUCAUUAUUAUGGUCUUUAGUAGUGAGGAGAUAGAUUUUCAGAUGGAAGGCAGGCACAACAGGUGUUUGCUUGAUGCACCUUCCUCUUGGCACAUUUCUCCCUUCUGCUCUCUAUUCAUGCCUCUUCAAAAUCCAUAGCAUUGUCUCCUUAUUCAUGAGCACUGUAGAGAAAGUUUAGUAACAGUGAGCAAACUUUCUUUUUUGUGUGUCACUCCUUACAUUUACCUUUAGACCUGGGGAGACUUUUUUGUAUUCAGAUCUUGUUCCCAAGGGUAAGUGUAUGUCCUAUAUUGGUAGUUCUAACUAGAAUAGGCCCAUUGAAUUUUUAGAAUUUAGAGAAGUGUUGACUCACCAUUUAGAAAUGUGUUAAAUGAGUCUACUCUAAUUGGGAUUACAAAUAAAAUUCAGAUCAGUAAAUUGAACCUUGUUCUGUAGAGCCCUCCUGCCAAAUUGCUCCUGUAAAGCAAGAGACAAUUUCAUUAUGUUUGUAGUUUUUAUUGAGUCAGCUUAUUUUACACAGGGAUGUAUAGAUGAGUCUUAACACAACUUAUUACUUGUGUGGGAGUAUAAAAUUGCAACCCCUGAAGUUGCAGAAGGCUCUUCAUUGCAGA